UCCACAGUAGCUCAGUGGUAGAGCUAUCGGCUGUUAACCGAUCGGUCGUAGGUUCGAGUCCUACCUGUGGAGUCA
This 75-nucleotide transfer RNA is filed under the name Staphylococcus lugdunensis. Its description in RNAcentral is "tRNA-Asn". It matches the Rfam family "tRNA". Rfam says of the family: Transfer RNA (tRNA) molecules are approximately 80 nucleotides in length. Their secondary structure includes four short double-helical elements and three loops (D, anti-codon, and T loops). Further hydrogen bonds mediate the characteristic L-shaped molecular structure. tRNAs have two regions of fundamental functional importance: the anti-codon, which is responsible for specific mRNA codon recognition, and the 3' end, to which the tRNAs corresponding amino acid is attached (by aminoacyl-tRNA synthetases). tRNAs cope with the degeneracy of the genetic code in two manners: having more than one tRNA (with a specific anti-codon) for a particular amino acid; and 'wobble' base-pairing, i.e. permitting non-standard base-pairing at the 3rd anti-codon position. The record is from RNAcentral. RNAcentral also lists the same sequence under 1 other name. Lineage: Bacteria; Bacillati; Bacillota; Bacilli; Caryophanales; Staphylococcaceae.